AACAACAAGAGCUUUAUGAAUCCCGUAAGCAAAGGCCAGUUCCGUCCAAAUGCUAGAAUGGUACGCCUCCGGUUCUCCUGAUGCUGUUGAUUCAGGAAUUUCCCAGUUAAAAUAUCGACGAAUACUAUUCAAGAUCGAAUGUUCAAGGUAGCCAAUUCUCUCUGCACCCAAGGUACGCACAAGGACAAACGAAGCAGAAAAAUCAAGCACUGAAAUACCAAUGUAGACUCCCAAAGACCACCAUCCAUACUUUUUCGUAAGUUCUUUUACUCUCUGGGUAAUAGUUAAUCGAGGAGGCGGAGAGGAAGAAGGAGGAAUCGAAGAAGAAGAAGAUAUUGAUCGUCUUACAGGCACAUUAUAAAGUGGAAGAGUUGGAGCUCUUCGAAAUGGCAGUCGUACGGAUUUCAAGUUUCGCCAAAGAUUGCUCAUUCCCAA
This is a non-coding RNA of Schizosaccharomyces pombe (fission yeast), 435 nucleotides long. The record is from the annotation of a GenBank genome assembly. Lineage: Eukaryota; Fungi; Ascomycota; Schizosaccharomycetes; Schizosaccharomycetales; Schizosaccharomycetaceae.